RNAcentral lists this long non-coding RNA (217 nucleotides) under Trifolium pratense (red clover). RNAcentral's name for it is "long non-coding RNA (TPRA_LNC011749)". Lineage: Eukaryota; Viridiplantae; Streptophyta; Magnoliopsida; Fabales; Fabaceae. The record is from RNAcentral.
AAGACAAUGUUUCAGCCCAACAAAUAUUCCAAAACCAUUUUCCAUUAUGUUCAAAACCUGUGUCUGCUACAAAAAAAUUUGGCAUAGAAGUUUUAAUAUAUAAAGUUGGAUAUAAAUCCCUCAAACAAUCAGGUCCAUACCACUUGUCUUUCCAAAAUCGAAUUGCAUUCCCUUGUCCCAGCACGUUACUUAUAUUUGAUCGGAACCAGUCACCAUU